GACCCCACAUACUAAAACUGGAUACAGAGAAGAUUCGCGUGGCCCGUGUGCAGGCAUGACACGCAAAUUCAUGACGUGUUCCAUGUCUGC
RNAcentral lists this small nuclear RNA (90 nucleotides) under Piliocolobus tephrosceles (Ugandan red Colobus). Lineage: Eukaryota; Metazoa; Chordata; Mammalia; Primates; Cercopithecidae. The record is from RNAcentral.